Molecule: ribosomal RNA, 468 nt
Filed under: uncultured bacterium
Lineage: Bacteria
Description: partial 16S ribosomal RNA
Rfam family: Bacterial small subunit ribosomal RNA
Source: RNAcentral
GACGAACGCUGGCGGCGUGCUUAACACAUGCAAGUCGAACGGAAGGGCGCUGCGUUUGUGGGGUGCUCGAGUGGCGAACGGGUGAGUAACACGUGAGUAACCUGCCCUUGACUGUGGGAGAACUCCUGGAAACUGGGGCGAUUACCGGAGAGGAUCUCCUGCUGCAUGGGGGGGGAUGGUAAAUGUCGGCGGUGGGGUAUGGUCUCGCUGCUUAUCAGCUGGUUGGGGGGGUAGGUGCAUACCAAGGCUUUGAAGGGUAGCCGGCCUGAGAAGGUGACCGGGCACCUUGGGACUGCGAUACGGACCAGACGCCUACCGGCCGCAGCAGUCGGGAGUCUUGCACAGCGGGCGGAAGCCUGUUGCAACAACGCUGCGAUCGGGAUGCCGGCCUUCUAGUUGUAAACCGCUUUCGCCUGUGACGAAGCGUGCGUGACGGUACCUAAUCAAGAAGCCCCGGCUAACUACGUG